UGUGCCCCGACUGGGAAUCAAACCGGUGACCUUCUGGUGCAUGGGCUGACACUCAACCAACUGAGAGCCACACUGCCGGGCAAACCAGAAAAGAUUUAAUGGUGGCAAGGAUACCCCCGAGGUUCUUGGACUGACCAGCUGGAAGAAUGGAACUGCUAAUGACUAUAAUAGCAAGAGGAAUUCCUCACCGUCCUUCUGAGCCGCACAUGCCUGUUAGCCAGCCAAGGAGAGAUGCUGAAAAGGCAUAAUUUGCAAACAACUACUCUAUUUACUCCCAACUCAGUCAUCUUGGAGGGAAAGUAGCUAUUAAUAGUAAAGGAAUGGGCAUGGCUCUAUCCCAACCAUCUUUACAACACUGAAACUUGAAUUUCACCAAUUUUUCAUGUGUCAUGAAUUAUCCUAAUUUUGAUUUUUGUUGUCAACAAAACCUAAAAUAUUUACUCUCUGGCUUUUACAGUUUGCUGACUGCUGGUAUAUAUGAAACAAGAUGGGACAUUAGUUGAUAAUUUUUAAAGAUUGGUAACGGUAUGUACAUGGGGUUUCAUUAUAUUAGUUUACUUUUGUAUAUGCUUGACAUUUUUCAUAAUAAAACGUUUGAAAAAUG
This is a long non-coding RNA of Myotis brandtii (Brandt's bat), 604 nucleotides long. RefSeq lists it as uncharacterized. NCBI's taxonomy places the organism in Eukaryota, Metazoa, Chordata, Mammalia, Chiroptera, Vespertilionidae. The record is from RefSeq and is a predicted model, not a curated record. The transcript is spliced from 2 exons.